Molecule: long non-coding RNA, 682 nt
Organism: Thunnus maccoyii (southern bluefin tuna)
Lineage: Eukaryota; Metazoa; Chordata; Actinopteri; Scombriformes; Scombridae
Exons: 3
Source: RefSeq, a predicted model, not a curated record
CUAACAGUGAUAAUAUACUAUUCCUUACUUUCAUAGGGACCUUUCUGACCCUGCGAGGGCCCCUUUAGGUUCCCAGACCUCCCUUUGGGAAAGACUAAUGAAUUAAAAAGAAACAGCUCUACAACUUGGAAGGUUGUGCGUCUUUGAUGCAGCUUGUAACCACACUGAUGUUCCUUUGCUGCUGCUCCUGAUGGCCAUGACCCCAGACUGAAGGUCCAAGGUGGCAAGUUCAGACAAAACAGCGCUGUACUUCUGAGGGCUGACCCAGGCAGAGGGGUCAAAGUUCAUACACAACAAGUGAUCAGCAUAGUGACCUCACAUGGGAACAGAAGGAGCAAGAGAGAUGUCCUAGAUGGAUCAAUAACCUGCGUUGGUAAGCUGAAAGCUGGCUGUCACACAGUUUUGAUGUCAUCAUGAGAAUGAAGCACAGGAAGUCAGAGUAAUCUGAAUGGCUGCCUUCAGAUUGUUACAAUAGGCUCAGUGGCUGACAAGAAAACGUCAUGAAGAAAUUUGGAGAAGGCAAAGAGUAAAGGUGAGCGGAAGGUGAAGAGCGACGGAUGGGAAAAAACCUGAGGUGAAAGAAGAGGACACGCAGAUAACUGUACGGAUGUGACCUCUCUGGGGGAGAGCUGAACUGCUUUUUGCCACUGGAGGGGUGAAAGGUCAGAGUCCGGCCUUUAGG